GCUGGUGACCAGCGCGACGGGGCCACACCCGUUCCCAUCCCGAACACGGUCGUUAAGCCCGUCAGCGUCGAUGGUACUUGGAGGGAGACCUCCUGGGAGAGUAGACCGUCGCCAGCC
This 117-nucleotide ribosomal RNA is filed under the name Gemmatimonadota bacterium. The record is from RNAcentral. Lineage: Bacteria; Pseudomonadati; Gemmatimonadota.